Molecule: long non-coding RNA, 501 nt
Filed under: Drosophila guanche
Lineage: Eukaryota; Metazoa; Arthropoda; Insecta; Diptera; Drosophilidae
Source: RNAcentral
AGCUCAUCGAGGAAGGGUUGCUCUCAGCUUCCCAAUAAAAUUACGAUUCAUAUACGAAACACCCGAAAAAAAACAGAAUUCUCUGUACUUGCGACUCUACACGAAGAAGGGCCAGUCAUCAAUUCCAAUACUAAAUGUUUACAAUAAAGUAAUUAGUUCCUGAUAUCCCAUUUAGGUAAUGGUUCACACUUCUAAUGGCUGCCAAAGCAUACAAGUACGUAAAUAUUUAGCUUUUAAAGUGUCUAAACGAUGUUUUGGUAAAACAAUAUUACGGAGUUCUCGGAAUAAAGUCACAACUUUAACACGUCAAAGGUACUAGACUUACGGAUGGUAGCAGACAAUCAAAGGAUAGAAUUAUUCAUUUCAUUAAUACAAGCCUCAAUUUGAUGAUUAUGACUCGCCAACGUUAGCUGACUAUGGAAUUUUCCCUUAAAUAAUUUAUAAUAAAAUAAUAAAUAUGUAUGUGUAUCCUAAUACACUUAUAAAAUAUCCUGCUAUAGC